Molecule: ribosomal RNA, 669 nt
Filed under: uncultured Inocybe
Lineage: Eukaryota; Fungi; Basidiomycota; Agaricomycetes; Agaricales; Cortinariaceae
Description: eukaryotic LSU rRNA
Rfam family: 5.8S ribosomal RNA (bases 253-423)
Source: RNAcentral
UCCGCAGGUGAACCUGCGGAAGGAUCAUUAUUGAAUAAACUUGAACAGGCUGUUGCUGGCCUCCCUCUAGGGGGGGUAUGUGCACGCUUGUCAUAUUUAUCUCUCCAACUGUGCACAUUCUGUAGAUCUGGAGCCCUUUGUAUUCUCGAAUAGAUUGAGGAUUGCUGUACUAGCUUUGCCUCGCAUUUCCAGAUCUAUGUUUUUAUCUUCACAAUGUGUCUAGAAUGUUGAAUCGAAAUGAUAAUCAUAUACAACUUUCAGCAACGGAUCUCUUGGCUCUCGCAUCGAUGAAGAACGCAGCGAAAUGCGAUAAGUAAUGUGAAUUGCAGAAUUCAGUGAAUUGCAGAAUUCAGUGAAUCAUCGAAUCUUUGAACGCAUCUUGCGCUCCUUGGUAUUCCGAGGAGCAUGCCUGUUUGAGUGUCAUUUGAGUUCUCAAGGUCAUACUUUCGGUGUGGCUUUGGAUAUGGAGGUUUGCAGGCUUCUGAAAAAUGAAGUCGGCUCCUCUGAAAUGCAUUAGUGGUAUCUGAGCAGAGACUACUUACAGGUGUGAUAAUUAUCUAUCUAUGCCUUGGUAUGCUGCAUUAAACAGAUUGCACUGCUUAUAACAAGUGAAAUUUGACAAGUUUGACCUCAAAUCAGGUAGGACUACCCGCUGAACUUAAGCAUAUC